Molecule: transfer RNA, 84 nt
Filed under: Aromatoleum toluvorans
Lineage: Bacteria; Pseudomonadati; Pseudomonadota; Betaproteobacteria; Rhodocyclales; Rhodocyclaceae
Description: tRNA-Leu
Rfam family: tRNA
About the family: Transfer RNA (tRNA) molecules are approximately 80 nucleotides in length.
Source: RNAcentral
GCCGGGAUGGUGAAAUCGGUAGACACAGCAGACUUAAAAUCUGCGGCCCUUGGCGUACGGGUUCGAGUCCCGUUCCCGGCACCA